UUCCGGUUGAUCCUGCCGGAGGCUACCGCUAUCGGAGUCCGAUUUAGCCAUGCUAGUCGACCGAGCUUUGCGCUCGGGGCAGAUAGCUGAGUAACACGUGGCUAACCUACCCUGUGGAUCGAGAUAACCUCGCUAACGUGAGGCUAAGCUCGAAUAGCAGAGAGGUACUGGAAAGUCUUCUCUGUGAAAUGUUACGGCGCCACAGGAUGGGGCCGCGGCUGAUUAGGUCGUUGGUGAGGUAACGGCUCACCAAGCCUAUAAUCAGUAACAGCCGUGAGAGCGGGAGCUGUCAGUCGUGUUCUGAGACAAGAACACGGACCCUACGGGGUGCAGCAGGCACGAAACCUUUACAAUGCACGCAAGUGCGAUAAGGGGACUCCGAGUGCAGUCUUCCCACAAGGAAGGCCGCUUUUCUGUACUGUAAGGAGGUACAGGAACAAGGGGUGGGCAACACUGCUGCCAGCCGCCGCGGU
RNAcentral lists this ribosomal RNA (473 nucleotides) under uncultured archaeon. Its description in RNAcentral is "bacterial SSU rRNA". It matches the Rfam family "Archaeal small subunit ribosomal RNA", at positions 1 to 471 of the family's 1478-position model. The record is from RNAcentral.